GAUUGGCCCGCCGGGUCCUCGAGCCCGCUUCCUCCCCCUGGAAGCCACUACGGCGGCUCCGAGGAGGGGGAGGGGCAAGGAGGGACGGCCGGUCCCGUCAGUCAGGCAGCGGGAGCCGCCAGGAGCGGAUGGCGGCGGUGGUAGCGGCCUCACUCGCCGCUGGGGGUGAGGAGGCGGCGGCCACAACCUCCGUCCCAGGAUCUCCGGGUCUGCCCGGGAGCCGCAGUGCAGAGCGGGCUCUAGAGGAGGCCGUGGCCACCGGGACCCUGAACCUGUCUAACCGGCGUUUGAAGCACUUCCCCCGGGGCGCGGCCCGCAGCUACGACCUGUCAGACAUCACCCAGGCUGACCUGUCCCGGAACCGGUUCCCCGAGGUGCCAGAGGCAGCGUGCCAGCUGGUGUCCCUGGAGGGCCUGAGCCUGUACCACAAUUGCCUGAGAUGCCUGAACCCAGCCUUGGGGAAUCUCACAGCUCUCACCUACCUCAACCUCAGCCGAAACCAGCUGUCAUCGCUGCCACCCUAUAUCUGCCAGCUGCCCCUGCGAGUGCUCAUUGUCAGCAACAACAAACUGGGAGCCCUGCCUCCCGACAUCAGCGCCCUGGGAAGCCUGCGACAGCUUGAUGUGAGCAGCAAUGAGUUGCAGUCUCUGCCCUCAGAGCUGUGCAGUCUCCCUUCCCUGCGGGAUCUCAAUGUUCGCAGGAACCAGCUGAGCACCCUGCCGGAUGAGCUGGGGGACCUUCCUCUUGUCCGCCUGGAUUUCUCCUGUAACCGUGUCUCCCGCAUCCCGGUCUCCUUCUGCCGCCUCAGGCACCUGCAGGUCAUUCUGCUGGACAGCAACCCCCUGCAAAGCCCACCUGCUCAGGUCUGCCUGAAGGGGAAACUUCACAUCUUCAAGUAUUUGUCAACGGAGGCUGGGCGGCGCGGGGGGUCUGCACUGGGAGACCUGGCCCCUUCCCGCCCCCCGAGUUUCAGUCCCUGCCCAGCUGAGGACUUGUUUCCGGGACGUCGGUACGACGGUGGGCUGGACUCAGGCUUCCACAGCGUUGACAGUGGCAGCAAGAGGUGGUCUGGAAAUGAGUCGACGGAUGAGUUUUCUGAGCUGUCGUUCCGGAUCUCGGAGCUGGCCCGGGAGCCUCGGGGACCCAGGGAGCGGAGGGAGGAUGGCUCUGCCGACGGAGACCCCGAGCAGAUUGACUUCAUCGACAGCCACGUCCCUGGGGAGGAGGAAGAUCGAGGUGCUGGCGAGGAGCAGCGGCCACCAGAAUCGAGCCCCGUGGCAGGGGACAGGGAGAGGGCGCCAAGCAGCAGGCGGGAGGAGCCUGCAGGGGAGGAGCGCCGGCGCCCAGACACCUUGCAGUUGUGGCAGGAGCGUGAGCGGCGGCAGCAGCAGCAGCAGCAGCAGCAGAGUGGGGUGUGGGGGGCCCCCAGGAAGGACAGUUUUCUGAAGUUGGGAGUCAGGGCUGCUGGUGGGGGUGCUGCUGCCUCAUCCGCUCAGGCCACCUACAACACACCUAAGCCCAGUGCCCCCCAGCAGGGAGCUUCAGGGGGGCAGGGAGCCCCUGCCCCCACUCCGGCUUCCACCUGCCAGGAGCCCCUUCCUGUAGCUGAACCAGCAACCGCCCCGGCUCCCCGGCCGCUCGGCUCCAUCCAGAGACCAAACAGCUUCCUCUUCCGUUCUUCUUCUCAGAGUGGCUCAGGCCCUUCCUCACCAGACUCUGUCCUGAGACCUCGGCGAUCCCCUCAGCUGUUGGACGAAAAGGAGGUGAUGGCUCAGCUGCGCCAGGUCCUUGAGUCACGGCUGCAGCGGCCCCUGCCCGAGGACCUGGCCGAGGCUCUGGCCAGUGGGGUCAUCCUCUGUCAGCUGGCCAACCAGCUGCGGCCGCGGUCUGUGCCCUUCAUUCACGUGCCCUCGCCUGCUGUGCCAAAACUCAGUGCCCUCAAGUCUCGGAAGAAUGUGGAGAGUUUCUUAGAAGCCUGUCGAAAAAUGGGGGUGCCUGAGGAGUCCCUGUGCCAGCCCCACCACAUCCUGGAGGAGGAGGGGGCUCCGGGAAGGGGCCUCCCCUACAUCGCUGCUGUCGUCCACGCACUGCUGGAACGGCCUUAGGGGUUGAGGUCGGGGGUGCAGGGCCGCGACCCGGCCAGGACCCCAGGAACAGAAGACAGACACGCCUGGGCUCUGCUCUCUAGCGAGGACUGGUGAGGGCGGCCUCGGGCCUGGCCCUGUUCCUCGGGCACUUCGGCCUGAGAGAUUGGAAGCCGGCCCAGCAAGGCGCGUGGUCACCUCUGGGUGCGGCCGUGGGUCUGGGAUGGCAGGAGGGCCCUGAAUAUUGUGUCAAGUGCAAUAAAGAGAGGCCAGAAGCCAUCUAGGUUGCCCCUCGGGGGGUGUGUGUGUAUGUGUGUGUGUCUGCGAACGAAAGCUGGGUCGCCCGCAUCUCCACUGGGCGCCACAGGUCCCCCGCCGCCAGGGGGCGCCCACGGGAUCCCGGCGGGAGCGCGCGCCACGUGGCCCGGAAACGCGCUGGGCGCCGGCGUCGCGAGGCCCUGAGAGGUGGGCCGACCUGGGCUCGCGGGGACCGGGACGCUUAGGGCUCCGCUGGCCGCUAAGGGAGGUAGAGCCCGAGUGGGUUCCAGGAGCGGCCAGGCGGGCGGAGGGCGCGGAGGUGCUGCCCAGCCCUGCACCCAGACGGGGCAUGUUGCCCUGGACCCCCCGGCGGUGGGGCGCGGGCGGGGAGCCGGCGCCCGAGGAACAAGGCCCCUGGAUGGGCAGUAACCCCGGCCAGACCUGGGACUCUGGAGAGGAGCCGGAAACACCACCACAGGACAGCCCUCAGCCCAGGUCCCUAAGGCCUUCCUGGACCUGGAAAGAGCAGCUGCUGCCUUGGAGGCCCCCAUGCUUGGCUGCAGAGCGGUCCUCGGGAACCCCAGGUCCUCUCUCCCCCGAGAUGACCUGGGAGGUGGCCCCAUCAAGGAUGACCUUGCUAACACCUUGGGACCCCAACUAUGAGGCUCAAGCAGAACCACGGCAGGUGUGGGGACCCAGCUGUGCAUCUGGUGCCUCCUUCUCAGGCCGGACUUUGUGUCAUCCGUCAUUCUGGCCCCUGUAUGAGGCAGUCUCAGGCAGAGGCCUCAGGCCGGGUCUGACAGGACAUUGGAGCCGAGAGCAGGUGCCGAGGGAUGCAGGGCUCCCUGUGAUGUCCUGUGAAGAUGUCUUUCUUUCAGACCCUCUUCUGCCUUGUGGGCAGCGUGUUCCCCUAUACCUGUCCGAGCCCCCUCAGCAGGUGAUGGGCUCUCUGAAGCUGCUGCUCCCACCCCCGAUCAUGUCCCCCUGGGUGCUCCCCACUCCAUCCUCUGGCUGUCCCACCGCCUGGCUCAGUGGGCCCGAGCUGAUCGCCCUCACCGGUCUCCUGCAGAUGAGCCAGGGGGAGCCGAGGCCCAGCUUCUCCGGGGCUCCCCCGCCCCCUCCCGGCCCCCCAGACCUCGUCUCUGACCACCCGGGUGCCAGUGGUGCCCAAAGCUGUUCUCACUGCACUGACCCAUCUCUCCCACGAACCCCAGACACCCAUGGUCCAUAGCCUCUCUGGGGGCAGAGUGGGCCCCCUACUUCCCCAGGCAGGUUCUGUUGACAAUAAAACAGUGUUGGUUUG
Molecule: non-coding RNA, 3645 nt
Organism: Sus scrofa (pig)
Lineage: Eukaryota; Metazoa; Chordata; Mammalia; Artiodactyla; Suidae
Source: RefSeq, a predicted model, not a curated record